GGAUUGUGACUCAGUGAUAGAGCGCUCGCCUGGCAUGCAGGAGGCACUGGGUUCGAUCCUCAGCACCA
Molecule: transfer RNA, 68 nt
Filed under: Marmota monax (woodchuck)
Lineage: Eukaryota; Metazoa; Chordata; Mammalia; Rodentia; Sciuridae
Description: tRNA.Ala
Source: RNAcentral